UGUUGCUGUGACCAGGGAGCCGCCUCCUCCUCGUCUCCUUCCUUCCGCAUUCCCUCUUCGCCUGUUAUUUGCCUCUGCCUCGGCUCGCUCCACCCGGCAGAAGCAUGGCUGCUAACAAAGUGAUAGUUUACGGCGGAAGAGGCGCGCUGGGCUCCAAGUGUGUGGAGCAUUUCAAAUCCAAAGGAUGGUGGGUGGCCAAUAUCGACAUGAGUGCUAAUGAGGAGGCUAACGAGAACGUGAUUGUCAAGUUGACUGACUCCUUCUGCGAGCAGGCGGGCCAGGUCACAGCAGAUGUCUCCCAGCUGCUCGGCGAGCAGAAGGUGGACGCCAUUUUGUGCGUGGCUGGCGGAUGGGCGGGAGGAAACUGCAGUUCCAAAGACUUGUACAAGAACACGGAUCUGAUGUGGAAACAAAGCGUGUGGACCUCCACCAUCUCCAGCCACCUGGCGGCUGUGCACCUGAAACCGGGAGGUCUGUUGACUUUGGCUGGGGCCAAAGCCGCUCUGUCGGGGACCGGAGGCAUGAUUGGCUACGGGAUGUCUAAGGCCGCUGUGCACCAGCUAUGUCAGAGUCUGGCCGUCAAAAACAGCGGGAUGCCUUCAGGGGCCGCUGCGGUGGCCAUUUUGCCGGUUACCUUGGAUACACCCAUGAACAGGAAGUUCAUGCCGGACGCUGAUUUUGGCACGUGGACACCUCUGGAGUAUGUUGCAGAAAUGUUCCUCAAGUGGGCCAUGGGCGUCAACAGGCCAGCGUCGGGCAGCCUGAUGCAGCUGGUCACCUGUGGUGGGGAAACUCAGGCCGUGGCAGCGCCCUAGAGGACAGACGGAAGGACGGACGGAUGGGGAUGUGGCGAGAAGAUAACGAUGGAGAAGCGAUAGAAGGCUCACAGGGUCAUGGAGUUUGAAGGCAAGCGAGGAGAGAGGAAAAAAAACAAAAGGGAGUGGCCUUCCUGUAAUGAAGACUGCAAGACCACAUUACAGACUACUCAAUGAGGUAAAAACACCAAAAACAAAAAACAACCUAGAGUGUCAGCUGAAGACUUACAGAAAUCACUGGCUGAAGACUUACAGAAAUCACUGGCAGAGUCUACCUUACGUAAAACAUUAAACAAGAGUGUGGUUCAUGGGAGAACACCAAAGAGGUAGCUGUUGCUGUCUAAAAAACAUUGAUCCAUGUUUUAAAUUUGCUAAAGAGCACUUGGAUGUCCCAUAGCACCAUUGGCAAAAUAUUCUUUGGAUGGAUGAAACCAAAGCCCAAUUAUUUGGGAGGAACACACAAACGCCAUGUGUGGAGGAAAAAUGGCACAGCACACCAACAUCAAAUCCUUAUCCCAAGUGUGAAGCAUGGUCGAUGGAGCAUCAUGGUAUGGUCGUGCUUUGCUCCCUCAGGGCCUGGACAGCUUGCUAUCAUCAAUGUAAACAUUAACUCACAAGUUUAUCAAGAUCAUUUGCAGAAGAACUUGAGACCAUCUGUCCAACAGUUGAAUCUCAAAAGAGGAUGUAAGAAGUCCAAAAUGAAUCCUGAUUGUUGUGCACGUCUGAUCUGCUACAACAGGCAACGUUUGGUUGAGCUUAUGAAUGUUUACAUUUUAUAUGAACAUGACAUUAAAUGAGGCUACUUUGAAAUCUUGUGAGCAUUUUGUAAACUUGCAUCCCCUGCCUUGAACAUGAGUUUGAAUGUGAUUGGUUAAGUUUUUCACACAACCACAUGCCCAGUUAUGAGGAUGUGCGUAUUUCGGCAACCACAUUAUCGCAGUUGUUUUUUUGUUUGUUUGCUUGUUUUUUUAAUUCCCCGCUCUAAAAUAUUUCAUGUUUGUUUUUUUUCUUUUCAAUCAAAUUGUAUUGGUUGUAAGUCACGUUAAUGUUAAAGGUUUUGACAUUUAUCCUAUCCUAAAUUAUUAAACCUGGGAUUUGAACAGGGGUGUGUAGACUUUGUGCAUCCACUAUAUAUUAUACCUUACACCUGUGGCUGGG
This is an RNA transcript of Phycodurus eques (leafy seadragon), 1973 nucleotides long. It is a transcript of the gene named quinoid dihydropteridine reductase a, with no coding region annotated. The transcript has 8 exons. NCBI's taxonomy places the organism in Eukaryota, Metazoa, Chordata, Actinopteri, Syngnathiformes, Syngnathidae. The record is from RefSeq and is a predicted model, not a curated record.